UACGAACGGUCCAAACGUUAUUCGGAAUCACUGGGCUUAAAGCGUCCGUAGGCGGCUCGGAAAGUAGGGUGUGAAAUCCCACGGCUCAACCGUGGAAUUGCGCUCUAAACUAUCGAGCUAGUGGGAGAUAGAGGUGAGCGGAACUGAUGGUGGAGCGGUGAAAUGCGUUGAUAUCAUCAGGAACACCGGAGGCGAAGGCGGCUCACUGGGUCUUUUCUGACGCUGAGGGACGAAAGCUAGGGGAGCGAACGGG
RNAcentral lists this ribosomal RNA (253 nucleotides) under uncultured bacterium. RNAcentral describes it as "partial 16S ribosomal RNA". It matches the Rfam family "Bacterial small subunit ribosomal RNA", at positions 524 to 776 of the family's 1533-position model. The record is from RNAcentral.